GACGAACGCUGGCGGCGUGCCUAAUACAUGCAAGUAGAACGCUGAAGGAGGAGCUUGCUUCUCAGGAUGAGUUGCGAACGGGUGAGUAACGCGUAGGUAACCUGCCUGGUAGCGGGGGAUAACUAUUGGAAACGAUAGCUAAUACCGCAUAAGAGUAGAUGUUGCAUGACAUUUGCUUAAAAGGUGCAAUUGCAUCACUACCAGAUGGACCUGCGUUUUAUUAGCUAGUUGGUGGGGUAACGGCUUACCAAGGCGACGAUACAUAGCCUACCUGAGAGGGUGAACGGCCACACUGGGACUGAGACACGGCCCAGACUCCUACGGGAGGCAGCAGUAGGGAAUCUUCGGCAAUGGAAGGAAGUCUGACCGAGCAACGCCGCGUGAGUGAAGAAGGUUUUCGGAUCGUAAAGCUCUGUUGUAAGAGAAGAACGAGUGUGAGAGUGGAAAGUUCACACUGUGACGGUAGCUUACCAGAAAGGGACGGCUAACUACGUG
RNAcentral lists this ribosomal RNA (495 nucleotides) under uncultured bacterium. RNAcentral's name for it is "partial 16S ribosomal RNA". It matches the Rfam family "Bacterial small subunit ribosomal RNA", at positions 28 to 507 of the family's 1533-position model. The record is from RNAcentral.